This is a long non-coding RNA of Numida meleagris (helmeted guineafowl), 919 nucleotides long. The record is from Ensembl. NCBI's taxonomy places the organism in Eukaryota, Metazoa, Chordata, Aves, Galliformes, Numididae.
GCAAACCCUACUGUCCUUUUUGGAUCAGUACCCUGAAGUCUAAUGAAAGACUUUGCACAAAGAGCGAGCUGCAUACAAAGUCACUGUUAAUACGUUGAAAUCUUUAAAUGAAGAGAGAAAAAAUAAAGUAUCCAGAGCCAUUUAUUCCAGCCUAAUUUAUCAUAGAGCAAUUUGGAUUGUUCCACUCUGAGAUAUGAACCCAGCUCCUCUUCCAUAUGUCAGAAAUGUCAGCAAAUAGUUUUACUGCUCCCCAUCUUCACUUAAGAGGUUCUAGCUACAGUUGUGCAGAAGAUCUUGAAGAGAGAUGGAAACACUUCUCAAAGAAUUGUUGUUCCAGAAGCUGCUACAAAUAUGCAUCUACAAAAAAAAAUAAACAACAGGAGUAAGGAGGCCUGAGAAUAUGAAUUACUACGAGAAGUGUGGGAGAAACUCUUAGAGAUAUGCAUUAUCAUAUUACUAUAGAGCUUAUCACAACCUGUAGCUACAACAAAACAGGUCUUUUCCAUCCCUAAGGAUGUCUGGUCAGCAAGGACCAACUCAGUUUCUGUUUGACUCUCAUUCUUCAGUUGUGUCGAAGUUGGCUUCCUCUUCUGUUACCAGACUUCAGUUCCAAGAUAGAGUAUUAUGUGUACUCUUUCUUUCAUUGUAUCAAAAUGCAUUUAUCUUGUGAAAUGAAUCUAAAGAAACCAAGCUAAAACUUUUGUCUGUAAGUCUUUCUUCUAUCACUUCUGUAAGGUUUGACUAACAGCUGACUAAUUCCUGCAGUUACAGUUGAUCUCAUUCUUACUUGAAUUAUCUCUUCACAGUAACAAUGGAGAAUGUUCUGGGUUAUCUUGCAAAAUCUGAUUGUAAAGUGGUUGUUGGGGAGGGUUUGAUUUCAAAAAAUAAAGUUGUGCAUCAGAUACUUACUAGUGUAUAU